This is a non-coding RNA of Podarcis lilfordi (Lilford's wall lizard), 7783 nucleotides long. The record is from the annotation of a GenBank genome assembly. Lineage: Eukaryota; Metazoa; Chordata; Lepidosauria; Squamata; Lacertidae.
GGGAUCUUGCAAGAAACUCAAGUCUUUCUGUUCACCCCUGCAAUAAAACUUAACAUUUGCAGAAAACUACAAUGAAGAAAUAGAUAUGCUUUGUACCAGUUAGAUAUAAACGACCGGACCAGAAACAAUUCAGAAGAGUUACUGAACUGGAAAUUAUUAGCGUUAAAGCAGGACCAGUAUGGUAAUUCGCUGCACAGAGAUGGAGGGUGUUGAAAUUCUGCAGUUCAGUUGUGAUUGAUAAAUUGGAUGUUUUAAAGACCCUAAUAGUUCAAGACAUAAGAGGUCAAGUGAGAUGUGCAGCCUUCACAUGCAUAGUUAUAUCUGUCACAGUAUGCCAGUUAAUACAUGGCUGGUUUAAACUUCAAAACUUCAGACUUUGAAAAAAAAACAUCAAUGUUUGGCAUUUAAUUUUAAAAUACUAUGAAACUACUUUAAGUGUAGUCUUUAAGAAUAUUUAUUUUAGCAAUGUGUUUAAAUUCUUAAUGCAUUCCCUCAAAAGGCACAGAUAUACUUCAUAAGAUGGCAUGUUUACAUUGCCAUAUAAGUAAGCAGUGACAAAAGUAGAGUAAUCAGCAAUUUUUAAAGUAAUGCAUUAAAAUGACUUGGACGUCAGCUAAAAUUCUUUACAGAGACUUGUUCCAAACUCUUUGACAAGCUGUUUGAAAGGCUGUCUAAUUUUCAGUGUGUAGCUUAAAAGAACUUGCAUUAUUUUUUCUGCUGAAGCGUUACUUUGCAACUACAGCAAUACAUAAAACAAGAUUCUUUUGUGUGUGUAUUGCUGUAGUUGCAAACUAGCAACAGUAUACAUGACAGGCCUGGAGUAGCCAACAUGUUGUAGUCCAGCAAAUCUAGAGAACACCCAUCCCUGAACUUGGCCCAUGUUGGCUGGGGCUGAUGGGAGCUGGGGGGCACCACUUCAGCCAUCCCUAUGGUAAAUUAUUUCAUUUGUUUCAUUCCCUACUAUAUGGCAUUCAGAAUGGCAGUUAAUGCAACCUAAGUGUGUAUACUGUACAUAAAAAGAAUGUAGAAUUAUGACGGCAGACUCAGCCCCCACAAUUUAUGUGCAUUCAGUAAGCUCUGUGAACAGACAACAAUGUUCACAAGCAUGACGCGCAUGGCUUUUUUGUGAAUAAUAAAGAUACAUACAAGAAAUAAUUUUUCCAGCAGAUUGUAAUUAAGAUUGCCUCCCUAAAAUUUCUUAGUUGGGAAGGAGACUUUGCCUACAUGGUAAUUUAGGCAGAGACUACAAAAUAAAUGGAAAUGCCAUGCACAUAUCGUGCCACUGCAAGUGAUUUCCCUAUGCACCACAGCACUGACAUGCAAUAUUGUUUCUUUUUUUCUCUGAACUCAGAAUAUACAUGUUGACAUAUACUAUGAUUGUGACAUCUUUUGUUUAUUUUUCUGAUAAUAGAGUAAUAACCUUCACUGAAUUAAAAGGGGUUGUGGUGGAAUUACAUAUGGAGUUAAUAGCUCAGUUGGUAGAGCAUGAGACUCGUAAUCUCAGGAUCAUGGGUUGGAGCCCCCCAUGGGUUGGGCAAAAGUUCCUGCAUUGGAGAGGGUUGGACUGGAUGACCCUUGUGGUCCCUUCCAACUCUGUGAAUCUGUGACUAAGACAUGUUCAGAAAUAGUCCCAAAUUUGUAAAAGUAUCAUAGUUUUUGUGCCUGUAGAAAUGCUGUUUAAAUGACUGAGAGCACCUAUUGUUGGAAAGCUAUUGGGAAUUAGAUAUCAGAUCACCAACUGAUAUUUUACUACAAUCAAUAUGAAAUUGACCUGUGGAAACCACACACACACACACACACACACACACACACACUUGAUCUCCACUUUCCCUGAAAACAGACUGACAUGAUCUCAUUAUUUGAAACAUCAAAAGGUGUCCCAGGGUUGUUGUCUCACACUUGCUAUUGCUUCAACUGUUCAAGUGUCAUGCUCAUGUGUAAAUCGCAUUCUUGACUUAGCUUUGUUUUCCUGGUUAGAUAGUACAGUAUCACCAGCACAGUUUGGGAGGGUAGGGUGUGUUAUUUCACUGCUGUCUAUAAAAUUUAUAUCACUCUGGUAAGGAGGCCAUUUGCUCUGAUACUGGAUUUGAGGAUUUUGGAUCCGAGAGACAUAAUAGGGAUGCUUCUUCUGAUAUUCUGCCUGCCCCACUGCCUGAGAGCUUACCUGGCAGAGUUUGUCUUGAAGAGUCCACACAUGGCAGUCAUGGUGACUCCCUGUUUGUGGAAUACUCUCCCCAGGGAGACUCACCUGGGCGUUUGGCUGAUUAACAUUCUAUGGACUUUAAAAUGUUUCUGUGGGAAGGGGAUCAUUGGUUUAUUUUGCUUUUGUUUAUGUUUUAUUAUGUAUUUUGUGUUUCAUUUUGUACUUUUAUGCUGUGAACUGUUCUGUGAUCUUCAAAUGAAGGGUGGUAUACAAAUUCACUAACUAACUAACUAACUAACUAACUAACUAGACUUCGGUUUCCACAUCAAGGCUAUCACUAUAGAUCCAGCUCAGAACUUCAUAGCCUCCAUGACAGCCAUGGGGUUGUCUUAGUUCAUUAAAAUACAAAUGCACAUGGCAGGACACACAAACUCAAACUGGUAUUUGCUAUAGAUAGGCAAGGGGAUCUGUUGGUAAGGGGGCUUGUAACAAGUUCAUUUCCAUGGAUUGUCUGGCGAGGAAAAAAACCCUGAAGGACUUGGGUCACUAAUAUUUGAAGGAACUCUUCCUUCCAUACCAUCCUGACCACGCCUUAAGAUCUGCAGGAGAGGCUUCACUUGUGGUCCACUGCUAGGAGAAGUUCAGGGAGUGGUGAUAUGUGAAAGGACCUCUGCAGCAGAGCUCCACCUAUGGAAUAGCCUUCCUUUGGAGGUGCAGAUGAUGAUGUUGAUGAUGAUUUUAUUAUUAUUUAUACCACACCCAUCUGGUUUCCCCAGCCACUCUGGCAGCAACUGUAAUGAGCCACUUUAAAAGGAUCCUUUUACCAUCACGUAGCUUUUUGUAAUAAUGAAACUGAUUUCUGAAAAUUUAAGGUGAAAUAUUGAAUAUGCUUGAGAAAAUUCCUUUCUUUCUUGAAUACUGUUAUAAAAUUUAAUAUUUUUAAUACUUAAUAAUUGAUGUAGUAUCUGUCUCUCUUCUUAAAAUGACAUGUUUGCUUUGUGUCAGUGUAGGUACCAAAUAUUCAGACAUCCCAAUAGUUUCCAAUUGUUGGAAGUUAUAUCAAUAGUAGAUGUUCUGCAUCAUUUUUCCAGGCAAACUGCACACCAUGUAGCUCGCUUGUCUGUAAAAUGCAGGAGUAUAUCCAGCUGUAAACAACAAAUGUGAUAAUUCAAUUCAUUUUUAAGGGGUCAAUGCUUUCUGAUUCUAGCUAUUCUGUUUACUUAAAUGGGGAAUAUUUUUCAUAUUAUUUAUUUCGGAAACCAACUGUAAUUUAUGUGUGAGCCUUUUUAGGACACCAAUGACAUUAUGUAAUAUAAUUACAAAAAUCCACCCAACUCUCCACAGGCCACAAAGGUUAUGCAAAGGCUUGUGGAAUCCUGGAAUUUCUAGCCAUUUUCCCGUUCUUUUGGUGCCAUUUUUGCAGUUUUCCCACUCUCUUUGGGCUGUUUUGCCCUUGUUGUGGUUAAAAUUGAUUUAUUUAAUUAUUUCCCAGCACUGCACAUAUAUGCAGUCAUGUCCAAAUUGAACACACGUAAAAUGCCUGUACUAGAAAAAGAGGUGGAAUAGAGCAAAAAGUUCAAUGUGAAAGAUCCAGUUCAGAUGUAAUGUUAAAUUAUAGUAUAGAAUUGUGUGGAAGAGCCGCAGUGAUUAGUUUGAUUCAAACCAUAUAUUUGGCUUGUUUCAACAACCACAGCAUGGCCACAAUCCUAUCCACACUUACCUGGGAGUAAAUUCCAUUGCAUUAAGUAGGACUUAAUUUUUAUUGUGCUUUCAAAGGAUUAAAAAAUAUUUUACUCAUUCCAAAUCUUUUAAAUAUGUAUUCAUAUAGCUCAAUAUAUUGGUAAGCCAUGAUUUAACAUUACAAGGGCAAGCUUUAGCUUGAUUACCAACAGAAUAGCCUUGCAUUCCCUUCUCCUCCAAACCUUCUCAAGUGUGACUAUGAGAAUGUUGGAAGCAUAUUCUUCCAUUUUGGAUUAACCAUAGUUUAUCAUUACAUCCAGAUGUUUAAAUUUAUUUACAGCCCCAUAAUGCCAUAGCCCCAUGGUAGCCAUAUAGUGAGUGGUUCCCAUAGCACUUUCUCAAAAUUCCAAAUGUGCUCAUUGGCCUGCAAGCAUUGGUGACCCCCUGUUUUAAAGCGUAUACCACAAUCCUACACAGAUUUACUGUUAAAUAACUCCCAGUGGGCUCAGGGGCAUGUAAAUAGCAAAGGAGUGUAUUUCGUUUUUUUGUUAAUACAUAAACAACGAAAAUCUAAUGCGAACUAAAUUCAUUAGAUCACAGGAAUAAUAUUGUAGUAAUUAUUCUCAUAGAGGAAUUCUUAGACUGCAAAAUCAUAUAACUAGUUUUCUCAGUGUGCAGUGAGAUGCGCAUGAAGUUAGAUGACCUUUUGAAACUCUUCUCUGUAACAGAAGUAGCUUGUCAUGGAGCUGCUUGGGAAACCUUAGUUCAAAACCAGCCUGAAAUAGCAAAAUAAAUGGUUGGGUCCUAGUUACAAGAAUUUUGCAGUUCCCUGUCUGUUUAAACUUUCUUUCAUUCUGAUUUGUUUCUUAGAAUCUUCCCUAGUGUUGCAUGAAAAUCAUUUGCUUCUUUUUUGUUAAUUAGUUUUUAACAUUGGAACAGUUAGCAUAGAAUACGCUGCUCAUUUAGUGACUUAGAUUAGCCCUAGGGAACACAUCCUUUUAGUUUGAAGCUGCUUUACUGGCAGCCAAGGGCAUGCCUUGGAGUUGCUUAGGUUGGCCCUGCCAAGGGCCCAGAUGGAUACAAGAAUGGUGCCUCUGACUUGGAAUGGUUAGGAGCCUGCCCACGUGCUCCCCAGACCAUUUCUCCAUUCCUCUAGGCAGCUAGGUGAGGCUCACAGGCUCCUCUGGUUGCCUUGGUGGAGGAAUCCAGUUGCUGUCGUGGCCAUCAUAGUACCCCUGCAAGCCCCCCCCCCAUCAGCUGGCAGCACUAUUAGAAGUUUGAGCAGAGUGCCUAGUGGAGCUUGUAGGGAAGACAGUAGUGGAGUCCCAGCAGCCCAAACCACCAGCCCAUGAGAGUGUGCAGAAACCAGUACAGCCCAGAAGUGUAAAUAAGCGGUAUAUUUAAAAGAAGUGUAUGUAAAAAAAGAAGGGAGAGAAGCAGCCGGUAUAGAGCUCAGGAUCAAAACUAAACACUAUAUCAGAAUAUUGGUCUACCUAAUGCUACACUUAAUCCAAAUUAACAUUGCAAAAAUUACUCUCAACCUUUGGUGCUGGCAUCUUCUGGUAUCAGAUGCAGGUUGGGCUUAAGAGGGUCAAAUGUAGCCUCACAAGUGUCAUUUAUAAAAGAGUAUCGGAUCCAAGUGGUUUUGGUGAAUGAACUCAGGCUUGCUAGAGAGGUUAAAAGCAACAAAAAAGGCUUUUAUGGGUAUGUUCGUAGCAAAAGGAAGAACAAAGAAACAGCGGGGUCACUCAGAGGAGAAGAUGGUGAAAUGCAAACAGGGACACAGAAAGGGCUGAACUCCUCAAUGCCUUCUUUGCCUCAGUCUUCUCCGAUAAAGAAAACAAUGCCCGACCUGAAGACUUUGGAGCAAAUGAUUCAGCAGAGGAAACACAGCCCAGAAUAACUAAGGAGAUAGUAUAGAAUACUUGGCUAGUUUAGAUGUAUUCAAGUCUCCAGGGCCAGAUGAACUGCAUCCAAGAGUAUUAAAAGAACUGGCAGAUGUGAUCUCAGAACCACUGGCAGUCAUCUUUGAGAAUUCCUGGAGAACAGGCGAAGUCCCGGCAGACUGGAGGAGGACAAACGUUGUCCCUAUUUUCAAAAAGGGGAAAAGAGAGGACCCAAAUAAUUACCGCCCAGUCAGUCUGACAUCAAUACCAGGGAAGAUUCUGGAGCAGAUCAUUAAGCAAACAGUCUGUGAGCACCUAGAAAGGAAUGCUGUGAUCACCAAUAGUCAGCAUGGAUUUCUGAAAAAUAAGUCAUGUCAGACUAACCUGAUCUCGUUUUUGACAGAAUUACAAGCCUGGUAGAUGAAGGGAACGCAGUGGAUGUAGCCUACCUUGAUUUCAGCAAGGCAUUUGACGAGGUGCCCCAUGAUAUUCUUGUAAAGAAGCUGGUAAAAUGUGGUCUUGACUAUGCUACCACUCAGUGGAUUUGUAACUGGCUGACUGACCAAACCCAAAGGGUGCUCAUCAAUGGUUCCUCUUCAUCCUGGAGAAGAGUGACUAGUGGGGGGCCACAGGGUUCUGUUUUGGGCCCGGUCUUAUUCAACAUCUUUAUCAACGACUUGGAUGAUGGACUCAAGGGCAUCCUGAUCAAAUUUGCAGAUGACACCAAACUGGGAGGGGUGGCUAACACCCCAGAGGACAGGAUCACACUUCAAAACGACCUUGACAGAUUAGAGAACUGGGCAAAAACAAACAAGAUGAAUUUUAACAGGGAGAAAUGUAAAGUAUUGCACUUGGGCAAAAAAAUGAGAGGCACAAAUACAAGAUGGGUGACACCUGGCGUGAGAGCAGUACAUGUGAAAAGGAUCUAGGAGUCUUGGUUGACCACAAACUUGACAUGAGCCAACAGUGUGAUGCGGCAGCUAAAAAGCCAAUGCAAUUCUGGGCUGCAUCAAUAGGAGUAUAGCAUCUAGAUCAAGGGAAGUAAUAGUGCCACUGUAUUCUACUCUGGUCAGACCUCACCUGGAGUACUGUGUCCAGUUCUGGGCACCACAGUUCAAGAAGGACACUGACAAACUGGACAGUGGGAUUUGCUGCCAAGGAGUGUGGUGGAGUCUCCUUCUUUGGAGGUCUUUAAACAGAGGCUUGACAACCAUAUGUCAGGAGUGCUCUGAUGGUGUUUCCUGCUUGGCAGGGGGUUGGACUCGAUGGCCCUUGUGGUCUCUUCCAACUCUAUGAUUCUAUGGUUUACAAGUGGUUAGUUUGGAACUUUUGGGGAGGCUCGGGGAGAUGGUAGACACCUUCUGGGAGCCGAGAACGAUGGCUAUUGCUGGUGGAUUUCUCUUUUUGCUAAACAGGAUUUAAUUAGGAACUCUGUGUUUUAGAAGGGACAUGCCUCAUUCCCUAGUCAUGAUGGAGGGCAGGAGCCUAGAGGGCCGCAGGAUGGAGGUGCCAGAAAAUGGGUGCCCCCCCCCAAUUGAGACUCAUUUCUAGAAUACUUUGUUUGCCUGACACUUAGUCAUAUCCUUUUGGCAACAGGUACUGAACAGUUUGUCUUGAAUGGGGAAUCAAGUCCUUGUAGAGCUUUUGACCACACAUUGAACAUCAAAACUAGUGCGCUUGUGGAAUUGUGUACUUGUGGGAGUUUGUAGCCAGAACUGUUAGCUAUGUACUGUCUGGAAUGCAGCACUUCCUCUCAGCACUAAAAAAGAUAGGGAAAGGUUGUCAAGCAGGGAUUCCAGGCUGCAUGCUUUUAUAGUACAGAAUGGCUGUGUUCCAAAGAUUGCUCUGUUCUCAGAAGCAGAGUGACAAGCUAAGUAUAUUGGAAAUGAAACUGCAGAUUUGACCUACAGCUUUUAUGAUAGGAUGGUGGGGGAGUCAUUCUUAUGGCUCCCUAGGCUUCUUUGGGAGGAAAGGCAGGAUAUAAUUUUUAAAAAAUAAUAAUGGGGGAAAUCACACUUAGAUUCAAGAUUCAGGUAGGGAGCCGUGUUGGUCUGAUGCAGUCGAAAUAAAUAGC